RNAcentral lists this long non-coding RNA (1585 nucleotides) under Capra hircus (goat). Its description in RNAcentral is "lncRNA (ENSCHIG00010002989.1)". Lineage: Eukaryota; Metazoa; Chordata; Mammalia; Artiodactyla; Bovidae. The record is from RNAcentral.
AUGCUUUGUCUGAUUUCUCUCUCUCCCUGUGUGUGUCUGUGUCUGUGUGUUUGUGUAUGUGUCUGUGUGUGUGUACCCAUCAAUCUACUACCAGCCAAAUUUAAACUUGUUCUACUCUCAUAUCCAGGCAAUAAUUCUGACCUAUCUUGGUUCUCUCUCAUCACAAUUCUUUCUGUUGACUGCUCUAUCACUCUAGUACUCACACCUGGACCAUUUUUCACAAAAUCAAAUAUGAGGGGCUUGUAUGGACUAAAGCAGUGUUUUUCACUGUGCUAAUUAGACAUCUAGGCCCACAGAGCUGCCUUGGCAGCUGCCCAAUCAAACAGUAAAAGACCAACAGAGUAUGAUUCCAGCCCCAAUCCCACUUUGCUCUGAGCAGCUCCACCAUUAUCUGUUUUAUGUGCAAAUUCCAAGUAUGAUCUUAUCUGAAAAAACCUGUGCUAUUACCUUAAGGAAUAAAAGUUCCAAAACCACUUUUUGUGACUUUUUAAGGCCCUUCUUACCUCUAAAAUUCAAGUCCUGUGAAAUACAGUAAUACAAUUAUUAAGACAGAAUUUUUAAAAUUCCUAGUUAAACUUCUACUUAUUAAUAUACAUCUUUAUAUCAUUUCUGGCUCAUGUAAUUUAAAAGGUUUGAAUAAAUUUAAGGUAAAAAUGCAUAAGUUAUUCUGGAUUUACUAACAGUCAACAGGGGGGGAGUGUAAUAAGCCUCCAAGAGUCCAUAGCAUCUAUGAAGAAGUAGGGAAACAUCUCUAAGACAGCACAUACCCUGAAGUGCAUAGGAUUUUAGCCUUUUUCCCAAAUGGAAGUGCAUUGUAAUAAUACGCUUUCCAUAGCCCACCUGUAUUUAAGCAAUGACUGAGUCGAUGAAAAGAGAGUUUCCAUGCUCCUAUGUUCCAUGGCAAUUCGAACUUUUGGGGCCUUUCUUUCUGCUUCAUGCAACUUUGCAAUAGCAAAUAAACAAAUAACAAGCGUCCAGCUGGAGAGUGAAACCAGCUUGUAUGGCCUUCAAGGUGUGGAAGACGGAAUGUAGUACAGUGGGUUCUUGGCAUUUAGGUCCGAAGAUUAGAUGCUGAGAGAAACCAGGCAGGAGGGGAACCUCGAAGCCAUACCUCACAGUAGGGCCACAGAGGCUUUAUGGGGCUUCAAGUCUUGGCAACUGAUUUUUCUCUUCAAGUCUGGUUACCAACAUAAUUUUUAUGUACCUGAUUAACUCUCAGUAUGGGAAUUCACUUCUCCAAGCUUUUUAUUCUAUUACUGUAUGUACUGUAUAUGUAAAGAUGGGGCUUCCCAGGUGGCUCAGUGUUUAAGAAUCCACCUGCCAAUGUAGGAAACUCAGGUUUGAUCCCUGGUCCAGGAAGAUUCCCUGGAGAAAGAAAUGGCAACCCACUCCAAUUUUCUUGCCUGGAAAAACCCCUUGGACAGAGGAGCCUGGUGGGCUAGAGCUCAUGGAGACACAGAGUUGGACACAGAGACUGAUCAACAACAAUAUGUAAAGACUUUAGGCUUGAUGGCUCAGAGCUGGUUUCACACUGGAAAUGGGGCAAAUCUGAAUUAAGAUGCCCUAAAAGUGCUGCAAAAUACAU